UCUUUUUUAGAAGAUACAAAGACAAAGACUCAUACGGACUUCGACUACACUAUCAAAGCUUUGAGAAGCAAGAAGAAGAUUGGUGAGUGUUUUGGAGUCGAAUAUGACUUGAUGUCAUAUGUAUGAUUGAGUAUAAGAACUUAAACCGCAACCGGACCUUAAAAGCCUAAGUAAUGUUUCCUUGUUAGAAGAUACAAAGCCAAAGCCUCAUACGGACUUUUGCUACACCAUCAAAGCUAUGAGAAGCAAGAAAAAGGUUGGUUAGUGUUUUGGAGUCAAAUAUUACUAGAUGUCAUGUGUAUGAGUGAGUAUGAUAACUAGAACCACAACCGGAUCUUAAAAGACUAAGUAUUGAAUCUUUGUUAGAAGAUACAAAGACAAAGACUCAUACGCACUUUACCUACACCAUCAAAGCUUUAAGAAGUAAGAAGAAGCUUGGUUAGUGUUUUGGAGUCAAAUAUGACUAGUUGUCAUGUGUAUGAGUGAGUAUAAAAACUAGAACCGCAACGAAUCUUAAAAGCCUAACUAUUGUAUCCUUGUUAGAAGAUACAAAGACAAAGACUCAUAUGGACUUCGGUUACACCAUCAAAGCUUUAAGAAGCAAGAAGAAGCUUGGUUAGUGUUUUGGAGUCGAAUAUGACUUGAUGUGAUGUGUAUGAUUGAGUAUAAGAAGUUAAACCGCAACCAGAGCUUAAAGGCCUAAGUAGUGUUUCCUAGUUAU
Molecule: small RNA, 721 nt
Filed under: Arabidopsis thaliana (thale cress)
Lineage: Eukaryota; Viridiplantae; Streptophyta; Magnoliopsida; Brassicales; Brassicaceae
Description: ATSL270550
Source: RNAcentral